ACAAGAGUCGGCUCACCGAACAGACAAAGAAUGCCCAUCACUGCGUCCAUGAACCUCUUAGUGCGAGACCCUGGGCUCCGCUAUGCAGACUGGUGCACGACCCACUGCCCCGAAUAGAGAUAUCCUGUUAGGAUGUUGGCGCUUUUCAUCCGUUCCACAAAGCGAUGCCCUCUGGCAGGAAUUGAAUAAAACCACGCUUUCGCUGGACUGUAGGCAGAGGG
This is a long non-coding RNA of Esox lucius (northern pike), 221 nucleotides long. RefSeq lists it as uncharacterized. The record is from RefSeq and is a predicted model, not a curated record. NCBI's taxonomy places the organism in Eukaryota, Metazoa, Chordata, Actinopteri, Esociformes, Esocidae. The transcript has 3 exons.